Taeniopygia guttata (zebra finch) is the source of this 916-nucleotide non-coding RNA. The record is from RefSeq and is a predicted model, not a curated record. Lineage: Eukaryota; Metazoa; Chordata; Aves; Passeriformes; Estrildidae.
GAGCCAUGUGUUGCCAUAGGUUCCAUGUAUCCAUGGAUACUAAUGGCACUGUCCCUCCUUCCUUUCAUCCAGCCACACAGAUCCAGAGGAGGUACAAAAACAUCCCACCCACUGAAGAGAAAGGCUGUCCUCAGGUACUGGACAGGCACAAUCAGGCCACCUCAGAUCCUUCUCUUUUCCAGGCUGAACAAUCCCAGUUCUCUCAGCCUUUCCUCACAGCAGAGCUGCUCCACCCCUCUGAGCGUCUUGGUGGCUUCCUCCAGACUUGUUCCAACAAGUCCAGGUCCAUCAGCUCAGCUUCAUUGGCAUUUCUAAAGUCACCAGUAGGAAAAGGGUGAUUCUCCCCUCCUCCAGUGUGUGCAUGCAGGACCUGAGCCCCUUCAGCACAGAAGCAGAGUGGCUUGCAGACACAACCAGUGACCCAUUGACACCCACGCUGGGUUUGUGCCCUGCAGUUCUGCUGGUGCAGCUGGAGGUCACAUCCACAUUCAAGCAAGAAGGAAUCAUCUUCUCCCCACUACGAAAGAUUUUUUUUUUUCCUCUGUGAAGAACCACUCCUUUUAGACAGUCCAUCUGUGCCAAACCCAAUCCCUAAACCCACAAGAACACCAGAGGGAAGUCAAACGAUCCUAAAAUUUUAGGAGAGUUCAUGGAAGAAAUUGGUUGCCCCUCAGUAUCUUUUUUUAAUCAGGUUUGUUAAAGUCAGAAUAACCUUCAAAGUGCCCAUAUGGGCCUUAAAGCUACAAAAUAAAUGCUGCAAGUCACAAAAUGCUGACUACUCCCUUCUGCUCUGCCUAACAGCCAAAAUAACACUUCCCAGCCUUCAGCAUCCUUGGGAUCCCAUGCUUUAGCAGGACACAUCUAACAGUAAUCAAGAGCAACCCUAAUGUCUGGAUUGUCAACAUUUAAUAGGAAA